GCAACACCAGYUUAUACUGAAAGUGAAAAGAAGGAAUAAGAAUUUCCUUUCUUGUAGUGAAARUAUUAAUACUUCAAUAGGAAGAAGGAAAGCUUUAUUUGGAAAGUUCUGCGGUAUGUGAAACACAAUUACAAGUAUUGAUGAUACUGAAGAAAUAAGGCUCUGCAGCUUAGAAACCUGUGUCAAUAGUAGGAAAGUGCUGGCACCUGUGGCAGCCAGAAUGGUGAAAAGGAGCUUGGUACCUCUGAUGUACAGAAUGAAUUCUGAGAUAUUAGAUAGAUUCUCCCCAAAGGACCAAUCUUUUCACCCAAGCAAUCCUAAGCCCCAGAGAGAAAAAUCAUGUCACAAUKUGAAGAAGGACAGAAGAUGGGCUAUCAGAAGAUGACCGACAGCAUCACUGUGAGCAGACCAGCC
Molecule: long non-coding RNA, 414 nt
Organism: Malurus melanocephalus (red-backed fairy wren)
Lineage: Eukaryota; Metazoa; Chordata; Aves; Passeriformes; Maluridae
Exons: 4
Source: RefSeq, a predicted model, not a curated record